UGACGAUAUCGAUUCUUCUCAAAGUUCAAUUAACUCAACUGACAUGUCGGAUUUCGGUGAACUUUUUUUCAAAAUCAGUCUCAAUUCUUCACUUAAACGUACAAAGCCUAGCCCCGAAAAUAGAUCUGAUUCAAGCUGAAUAUUCUGAUUUCGACAUUUUAGCGUUUAGUGAAACCUGGUUAAACAAUAAUCAUACAGACGAAUCAAUUGAAAUCCUAAAUUACCAGCACCCCUUCCGUCGUGACAGAGGUCCACACAAGGUUGGAGGGGGGAUAAUUGUUUAUGUAAAAAAUGAUAUACAUGUUCAACGUCGAAUUGACCUCGAAAGCGAAAGCUUGGAAGCAAUAUGGUUAGAAAUUAAAUUUAAAGAUAAAAAGGCUUUGCUCGGAACCUUUUAUAUACCUCCCAAUAGUGGA
This 416-nucleotide long non-coding RNA is filed under the name Mytilus galloprovincialis (Mediterranean mussel). Lineage: Eukaryota; Metazoa; Mollusca; Bivalvia; Mytilida; Mytilidae. The record is from RNAcentral.